GACGAACGCUGGCGGCGUGCUUAACACAUGCAAGUCGAACGGAAAGGCCCUGCAUUUGUGGGGUGCUCGAGCGGCGAACGGGUGAGUAACACGUGAGUAACCUGCCCUUGACUUUGGGAUAACUUCAGGAAACUGGGGCUAAUACCGGAUAGGAGCUCCUGCUGCAUGGUGGGGUUUGGAAAGUUUCGGCGGUUGGGGAUGGACUCGCGGCUUAUCAGCUUGUUGGUGGGGUAGUGGCUUACCAAGGCUUUGACUGGUAGCCGGCCUGAGUGGGUGACCGGCCACAUUGGGACUGAGAUACGGCCCAGACUCCUACGGGAGGCAGCAGUGGGGAAUAUUGCACAAUGGGCGGAAGCCUGAUGCAGCAACGCCGCGUGCGGGAUGACGGCCUUCGGGUUGUAAACCGCUUUCGCCUGUGACGAAGCGUGAGUGACGGUAAUGGGUAAAGAAGCACCGGCUAACUACGUG
This 468-nucleotide ribosomal RNA is filed under the name uncultured bacterium. Its description in RNAcentral is "partial 16S ribosomal RNA". It matches the Rfam family "Bacterial small subunit ribosomal RNA", at positions 28 to 507 of the family's 1533-position model. The record is from RNAcentral.